Molecule: long non-coding RNA, 1039 nt
Filed under: Papio anubis (olive baboon)
Lineage: Eukaryota; Metazoa; Chordata; Mammalia; Primates; Cercopithecidae
Description: lncRNA (ENSPANG00000045111.1)
Source: RNAcentral
GAUCCUGGCUGCGGAAAGAGAACUCUUGUGCAAAAAGAGCACUGGAAAAGACAGGAGAGGCCAGAGCAGUCAUUCCAAAGUUAAAAAGACUGAGUCAAGAGGGUCGGGGCAAAUCACGGGGAAAGAAAGAGGGUUAAGUCGCAAGUAUAUUUUGAAUAAAUCACUCAAUGUGGGUGUGCAAGGCUUAUUAGAAAAACAAACGCCUGGCGGGGCGUGGUGACUCACGCUUGUAGUCCCAACACUUUGGGAGGCCUAGGCGGGAAAAUCACGAGGUUAGGAGAUCGAGACCAUCCUGGCCAACACAGUGAAACCCGGCCCUACUAAAAAUACAAAAGUGCGUAGUGGUGAUGCCAGCCUGUAGUCCCAGCUACUCCGGAGGCUGAGGCAGGAGAAUCGCUUGAUUUCGGGAGACGGAGGUUGCAGUGAGCCGAGAUCGGACCACUAAACUACACCUUGGAGACAAGAGUAAGACUCCGUGCCAAAAAAAAAAAAAAAAAGAAAAAGGAAAAACAGACGCCUCAGGAAACAAACCGUGUGGAACUAAAGGAAGAUGGAGUUUCCUUCUGUUGCCCAGGCUGGCAUGUGGUGCACUGCAACUUGUAUCUCCCGGGUUCAAGCGAUUCAUGUGUUUCAGCCUCCCAAGCAGCUGGGACUAUAGGCAUGCACCGCCAUGCUUGGCCUCCCAAAGUGCUGGGAUUACAGAUGUUACAUUUCAAGAAUAAUGUUGCUAUUCACCCAGCAUUUAUUGUCCAACUUACUGAUCUCCUUUGGAGCAAACAAUGACUUCACAACCAAAUCACAUUUGACAGUGACUUCAGGAGAAGUGCAGGCUUAUGUAAUUCAAACAGAGAAUUUGUGCAGAAAACGUCUCAAGUCAGGUAUAAUUAAUUCUCCUUCAUUUUGGAUAUUAAUGUUAUUAUUUCCACAAGUACAUGUCUUUACUUCCAUGAGAUCAUGUCUUUAUUUUUCAGGAGAAAAUAAAUGUGAUGUGAUAAUAAACAUUAGAAAAGAUAAGAGAAAUAUUCUAUUAUAUCCUUAA